This 342-nucleotide long non-coding RNA is filed under the name Monodelphis domestica (gray short-tailed opossum). Its description in RNAcentral is "lncRNA (ENSMODG00000036355.2)". Lineage: Eukaryota; Metazoa; Chordata; Mammalia; Didelphimorphia; Didelphidae. The record is from RNAcentral.
AGCAGUUCUGGAAGAACAGGUGUCCUGUCAGCUUUCUUUGGUUCUCCAAAGUUUCUCCUUUGUCAGUAAUGAGACUUCAGUUCCUGCCCUUUGGCCCUGGUGCCCGCAGACUCAGAGGUGUUCUUUCCUUCAUACCCCAGCUGUGGACCAGUGAGGGGGUCUUUUGAGCUGAGGCUACAGCAAACAGAACUGCUUCCAGGGUCCUCUGACUGGGAAUUCAGAUUCCUGUGGUAUCCUUGGGGAUCCAGGCUUCCAAGUCUCAGCAAACAAGCCAGCAAGCUAAAGAGAGCACUGCUGAUGAAUUCUGGAUCCAUAAGCAAAUUAACUAGGUGGAGGGCUUAA